ACGUCACAGUACGCAGGUAUUAACUACGCACCUUUCCUCACUGAUGAAAGUGCUUUACAACCCGAAAGCCUUCUUCACACACGCGGCAUGGCUGGAUCAGGCUUUCGCCCAUUGUCCAAUAUUCCCCACUGCUGCCUCCCGUAGGAAGCCGAAUUCCAGCACACUGGCGGCCGUUACUAGUGGAUCCGAGCUCGGUACCAAGCUUGGCGUAAUCAUGGUCAUAGCUGUUUCCUGUG
This 236-nucleotide ribosomal RNA is filed under the name uncultured bacterium. RNAcentral's name for it is "partial 16S ribosomal RNA". The record is from RNAcentral.